This 572-nucleotide ribosomal RNA is filed under the name Pangasius bocourti. RNAcentral's name for it is "partial 16S ribosomal RNA". It matches the Rfam family "Bacterial large subunit ribosomal RNA", at positions 1816 to 2597 of the family's 2925-position model. The record is from RNAcentral. Lineage: Eukaryota; Metazoa; Chordata; Actinopteri; Siluriformes; Pangasiidae.
CGCCUCCUGCAAAAAUCAAUGUAUAGGAGGUCUUGCCUGCCCAGUGACAAGUUAAACGGCCGCGGUAUUUUGACCGUGCGAAGGUAGCGCAAUCACUUGUCUUUUAAAUGAAGACCUGUAUGAAUGGUGGAACGAGGGCUUAACUGUCUCCCCUUUCAAGUCAAUGAAAUUGAUCUGCCCGUGCAGAAGCGGGCAUAAAAAUACAAGACGAGAAGACCCUUUGGAGCUUAAGAUACAAGAUCAACUAUGUCAAGAACUCUAAAAUUAAGUUAAACUAAAUAGUUAACUGAUCCCUAUCUUCGGUUGGGGCGACCGCGGGAGAAAACAAAGCUCCCACGCGGACUGGGAUUAUAAUCCUAAAACCAAGAAAGACAUCUCUAAGUCGCAGAACAUCUGACCAUAAAGAUCCGGCCUAACCCGCCGACCAACGGACCAAGUUACCCUAGGGAUAACAGCGCAAUCCCCUUUCAGAGUCCAUAUCGACAAGGGGGUUUACGACCUCGAUGUUGGAUCAGGACAUCCUAAUGGUGCAGCCGCUAUUAAGGGUUCGUUUGUUCAACGAUUAAAGUCCU